UCAUCAAAUGCUCCGGUUGGGUCAACAUCUCAUAUGUCAAGUCUGGUUCAAUAUAUCUCGUCAUUAAAACAUUUACAUAAAAAUCAUGUACAACAGAGAUUUACAAUAAACAUUAGAGCCAAACACAAUACUAAUUCUCAUUACAUUACUUUACAUUACAUUACAUGUCCACUAUAACUCUAUUACAUGACAUAGCCAUUACCCUUGCUGACUUCCUGCUAUCUCUGACCCUGCAAACCUGGGGGUUAGGGAAAAUGGGUGAACUACAAAAGUCCAGUGAGCAGAACAUUAAAAACGGUUCAUUAAACAUAUGCUUUCAUGAGAUGCAUCACAUCACAAACAAUUCACAUCACAAACAAUUCACAUCAAUGAUGAACUUGUCACCAAUUGCCCUCUACAUAAUCCAAUGUGCUCGGCCCACAACGGGAGCUCCUUAGGACUUUCGAUUAACAUAUCAUAACAUAACAUAUCCAACUGUGCCAGGGGCGUAGAAUGGGUCUCGACUUAGACUUUCUCUUACUCUGUGCCAGGGGCGUAGAAUGGGUUUCGACCUGAACUUUCAUACUAUGUCAUAUCAUAUCAUAUCAUAUCAAGGGUCAAUAGGUCAUCCAACAUCCAUCCAC
RNAcentral lists this long non-coding RNA (623 nucleotides) under Manihot esculenta (cassava). RNAcentral's name for it is "long non-coding RNA (MESC_LNC008255)". The record is from RNAcentral. Lineage: Eukaryota; Viridiplantae; Streptophyta; Magnoliopsida; Malpighiales; Euphorbiaceae.